This 253-nucleotide ribosomal RNA is filed under the name uncultured bacterium. Its description in RNAcentral is "partial 16S ribosomal RNA". It matches the Rfam family "Bacterial small subunit ribosomal RNA", at positions 524 to 776 of the family's 1533-position model. The record is from RNAcentral.
UACAGGGGGUGCAAACGUUGCUCGGAAUCAUUGGGCGUAAAGCGCACGUAGGCGGUUCGUUAUGUCGGAUGUGAAAGCCCUUGGCUUAACCGAGGAAGUGCAUCCGAAACUGGCGAGCUAGAGUACUAAAGAGGAUAGCGGAAUUCCCGGUGUAGAGGUGAAAUUCGUAGAUAUCGGGAGGAACACCGGUGGCGAAGGCGGCGAUCUGGGUAGAUACUGACGCUGAGGUGCGAAAGCGUGGGGAGCAAACAGG